This 497-nucleotide ribosomal RNA is filed under the name uncultured bacterium. RNAcentral's name for it is "partial 16S ribosomal RNA". It matches the Rfam family "Bacterial small subunit ribosomal RNA", at positions 28 to 507 of the family's 1533-position model. The record is from RNAcentral.
GAUGAACGCUGGCGGCGUGCCUAAUACAUGCAAGUCGAGAGAACGGACGAGAAGCUUGCUUCUCUGAUGUUAGCGGCGGACGGGUGAGUAACACGUGGAUAACCUACCUAUAAGACUGGGAUAACUUCGGGAAACCGGAGCUAAUACCGGAUGAUAUUUUGAACCGCAUGGUUCAAAAGUGAAAGACGGUCUUGCUGUCACUUAUAGAUGGAUCCGCGCUGCAUUAGCUAGUUGGUAAGGUAACGGCUUACCAAGGCAACGAUGCAUAGCCGACCUGAGAGGGUGAUCGGCCACACUGGAACUGAGACACGGUCCAGACUCCUACGGGAGGCAGCAGUAGGGAAUCUUCCGCAAUGGGCGAAAGCCUGACGGAGCAACGCCGCGUGAGUGAUGAAGGUCUUCGGAUCGUAAAACUCUGUUAUUAGGGAAGAACAUAUGUGUAAGUAACUGUGCGCAUCUUGACGGUACCUAAUCAGAAAGCCACGGCUAACUACGUG